GGACGGGGCUUGAACUCUAUGUCAAACUCCCCGAGUUCAAUUGCCCACUUUAGUAAUCUGCCUGAGACGUCUGGCUUUUGAAGGAUGUGUUUCAGAGGCUGAUUGGUGAGCACUACAAUGGGGUGAGAUUGAAAAUAUUGUCGAAGCUUUCGUGCUGCCACUAUUAGGGCAAGAGCAAGUUGCUCGGCCAAAGUGUACCUGGUCUCCGCAUCAAGUAGGACUUUACUCACGUAGUAAAUGGGUUGCUGGGCUCUAUUGACCUCUUUUAUCAAGACGCCGCUUACAGCGUUUUGAGACAUGGUUAAGUAUAAUAAUAAAGUAUCCCCGGGCUCAGGUUUAGUGAGGAUAGGAGGAGACGCUAAUGUCUAUUUAAGCUCCUGAAAAGCCUUUUCACAUUCCUCAUUCCAUUCAAAGGAUUGGCUGCCUCUAAGAACUUUGAAGAAAGGGAAGCACUUAUCUGCUGCUCGGGACAUGAACUUGUUUAAGGCUGCUACCCUCCCUGUUAAUUUUUGCACUUCUUUCUUGGUUUGGGUGAUUCCAUUAUUGCCAAGGCCUGGAUCUUAUCGGGGUUAGCUUCUAUCCCCUGAUGAGUGAUCAUGAAGCCUAAAAAUUUUCCCGAAGCUAUACCGAAUACACAUUUUUCUGGGUUGAGCUUCAUCCGAUAUUUUCGUAGGAUGGCGAACACCUCAUCCAGGUUGGAUAUGUGUUGCUCUACCUUCUUACUCUUUACAACCAUGUCAUCAACAUAGGCCUCGAUGUUCUUCCCUAUCAAAUUAGCGAAGACUUUGUUGAUGAGCCUCUGAUAUGUCGCCCCAGCAUUUUUCAACCCAAAUGGCAUCACCCUAUAGCAAUGUAUGGCUGAAUCAGCCAUGAAUGAAGUCUUCU
Molecule: long non-coding RNA, 885 nt
Filed under: Olea europaea subsp. europaea
Lineage: Eukaryota; Viridiplantae; Streptophyta; Magnoliopsida; Lamiales; Oleaceae
Source: RNAcentral